AGUGAACGCUGGCGGUAGGCCUAACACAUGCAAGUCGAACGGCAGCACAGUAAGAGCUUGCUCUUACGGGUGGCGAGUGGCGGACGGGUGAGGAAUACAUCGGAAUCUACUUUUUCGUGGGGGAUAACGUAGGGAAACUUACGCUAAUACCGCAUACGACCUACGGGUGAAAGCAGGGGAUCUUCGGACCUUGCGCGAUUGAAUGAGCCGAUGUCGGAUUAGCUAGUUGGCGGGGUAAAGGCCCACCAAGGCGACGAUCCGUAGCUGGUCUGAGAGGAUGAUCAGCCACACUGGAACUGAGACACGGUCCAGACUCCUACGGGAGGCAGCAGUGGGGAAUAUUGGACAAUGGGCGCUAGCCUGAUCCAGCCAUACCGCGUGGGUGAAGAAGGCCUUCGGGUUGUAAAGCCCUCUUGUUGGGAAAGAAAAGCAGCAGGUUAAUACCCCGCUGUUCUGACGGUACCCAAAGAAUAAGCACCGGCUAACUUCGUG
RNAcentral lists this ribosomal RNA (492 nucleotides) under uncultured bacterium. RNAcentral describes it as "partial 16S ribosomal RNA". It matches the Rfam family "Bacterial small subunit ribosomal RNA", at positions 29 to 507 of the family's 1533-position model. The record is from RNAcentral.